CUAGCUGUAAACGAUGUGAACUUGGCGUUGGUGGGUUUAAAUCCAUCAGUGCCGAAGCUAACGCGAUAAGUUCACCGCCUGGGGACUACGGCCGCAAGGUUAAAACUCAAAGGAAUUGACGGGGCCCCGCACAAGCAGCGGAGCGUGUGGUUUAAUUCGAUGCUACACGAAGAACCUUACCAGGGUUUGACAUGCAAGUGGUAGAGAAGCGAAAGCGGAUCGCCCCCUCGGGGAGCUUGCACAGGUGC
RNAcentral lists this ribosomal RNA (248 nucleotides) under uncultured Anaerolineaceae bacterium. Its description in RNAcentral is "partial 16S ribosomal RNA". It matches the Rfam family "Bacterial small subunit ribosomal RNA", at positions 796 to 1041 of the family's 1533-position model. The record is from RNAcentral. Lineage: Bacteria; Bacillati; Chloroflexota; Anaerolineae; Anaerolineales; Anaerolineaceae.